This 84-nucleotide transfer RNA is filed under the name Methanobacteriota archaeon. RNAcentral describes it as "Euryarchaeota archaeon tRNA-Leu". It matches the Rfam family "tRNA". Rfam says of the family: Transfer RNA (tRNA) molecules are approximately 80 nucleotides in length. The record is from RNAcentral. Lineage: Archaea; Methanobacteriati; Methanobacteriota. RNAcentral also lists the same sequence under 5 other names.
GCAGAGGUGGCGGAGUGGUUAACGCGCUGGGCUGAGGGCCCAGUCCUUAGUGGAUCGCAGGUUCGAAUCCUGUCCUCUGCACCA